UUGUGCGCUGCGCGCGGUACGACCGAUCUGUUUAUAACGUUAUCGGGGCGCGCGCGUGCGAUCGAGACAUGUGAGGUGCACCGAUUUCUCGCGUGCACACCAAUCACGCGACGGCGAACGCAUUGCGGACGUCGGGCGUAAAUCACAAGGCGCGGAUUUGCAUGUUGUGAAAAGUGCACAAUUAAGUCGCAUAACGCACAGUCGGUAGACUAUCGAAUAUUUCGGGAUAGGCUGCCGAACACCCUUGCAGUGUUGUCCAAUCACUAAUAACGACGCGAUAAACACUCGAUUUGGACGACGGGG
Cinara cedri is the source of this 303-nucleotide non-coding RNA. Lineage: Eukaryota; Metazoa; Arthropoda; Insecta; Hemiptera; Aphididae. The record is from the annotation of a GenBank genome assembly.